RNAcentral lists this transfer RNA (78 nucleotides) under Acidobacteriota bacterium. Its description in RNAcentral is "Acidobacteria bacterium tRNA-Pro". It matches the Rfam family "tRNA". From Rfam's summary of the family: Transfer RNA (tRNA) molecules are approximately 80 nucleotides in length. Their secondary structure includes four short double-helical elements and three loops (D, anti-codon, and T loops). Further hydrogen bonds mediate the characteristic L-shaped molecular structure. tRNAs have two regions of fundamental functional importance: the anti-codon, which is responsible for specific mRNA codon recognition, and the 3' end, to which the tRNAs corresponding amino acid is attached (by aminoacyl-tRNA synthetases). tRNAs cope with the degeneracy of the genetic code in two manners: having more than one tRNA (with a specific anti-codon) for a particular amino acid; and 'wobble' base-pairing, i.e. permitting non-standard base-pairing at the 3rd anti-codon position. The record is from RNAcentral. RNAcentral also lists the same sequence under 1 other name. Lineage: Bacteria; Pseudomonadati; Acidobacteriota.
CGGGGCGUAGCGCAGCCUGGUUAGCGCACCUGACUGGGGGUCAGGGGGUCGCUGGUUCGAAUCCAGUCGCCCCGACCA